GAUGAACGCUGGCGGCGUGCCUAAUACAUGCAAGUCGAGCGAACGGACGAGAAGCUUGCUUCUCUGAUGUUAGCGGCGGACGGGUGAGUAACACGUGGAUAACCUACCUAUAAGACUGGGAUAACUUCGGGAAACCGGAGCUAAUACCGGAUAAUAUUUUGAACCGCAUGGUUCAAAAGUGAAAGACGGUCUUGCUGUCACUUAUAGAUGGAUCCGCGCUGCAUUAGCUAGUUGGUAAGGUAACGGCUUACCAAGGCAACGAUGCAUAGCCGACCUGAGAGGGUGAUCGGCCACACUGGAACUGAGACACGGUCCAGACUCCUACGGGAGGCAGCAGUAGGGAAUCUUCCGCAAUGGGCGAAAGCCUGACGGAGCAACGCCGCGUGAGUGAUGAAGGUCUUCGGAUCGUAAAACUCUGUUAUUAGGGAAGAACAUAUGUGUAAGUAACUGUGCACAUCUUGACGGUACCUAAUCAUAAAGCCACGGCUAACUACGUG
This 497-nucleotide ribosomal RNA is filed under the name uncultured bacterium. Its description in RNAcentral is "partial 16S ribosomal RNA". It matches the Rfam family "Bacterial small subunit ribosomal RNA", at positions 28 to 507 of the family's 1533-position model. The record is from RNAcentral.